CACGCCGUAAACUAUGAGUGCUAGGUGUUGCGGGUAUUGACCCCUGCAGUGCCAAAGCUAACGCGUUAAGCACUCCGCCUGGGGAGUACGGUCGCAAGAUUAAAACUCAAAGGAAUUGACGGGGGCCCGCACAAGCGGUGGAGCAUGUGGUUUAAUUCGACGCUACGCGCAGAACCUUACCUGGGCUUGAACUGCAGUGGACCGGUGUAGAAAUACACUUUCCCUUCGGGGCUGCUGUAGAGGUGC
Molecule: ribosomal RNA, 246 nt
Filed under: uncultured bacterium
Lineage: Bacteria
Description: partial 16S ribosomal RNA
Rfam family: Bacterial small subunit ribosomal RNA
Source: RNAcentral